GAGUGGCGAACGGGUGAGUAACACGUGGGUAACCUGCCCAUCAGAAGGGGAUAACACUUGGAAACAGGUGCUAAUACCGUAUAACAAUCGAAACCGCAUGGUUUUGAUUUGAAAGGCGCUUUCGGGUGUCGCUGAUGGAUGGACCCGCGGUGCAUUAGCUAGUUGGUGAGGUAACGGCUCACCAAGGCCACGAUGCAUAGCCGACCUGAGAGGGUGAUCGGCCACAUUGGGACUGAGACACGGCCCAAACUCCUACGGGAGGCAGCAGUAGGGAAUCUUCGGCAAUGGACGAAAGUCUGACCGAGCAACGCCGCGUGAGUGAAGAAGGUUUUCGGAUCGUAAAACUCUGUUGUUAGAGAAGAACAAGGAUGAGAGUAACUGUUCAUCCCUUGACGGUAUCUAACCAGAAAGCCACGGCUAACUACGUGCCAGCAGCCGCGGUAAUACGUAGGUGGCAAGCGUUGUCCGGAUUUAUUGGGCGUAAAGCGAGCGCAGGCGGUUUCUUAAGUCUGAUGUGAAAGCCCCCGGCUCAMCCGGGGAGGGUCAUUGGAAACUGGGAGACUUGAGUGCAGAAGAGGAGAGUGGAAUUCCAUGUGUAGCGGUGAAAUGCGUAGAUAUAUGGAGGAACACCAGUGGCGAAGGCGGCUCUCUGGUCUGUAACUGACGCUGAGGCUCGAAAGCGUGGGGAGCAAACAGGAAUUAGAUACCCUGGUAGUCCACGCCGUAAACGAUGAGUGCUAAGUGUUGGAGGGUUUCCGCCCUUCAGUGCUGCAGCUAACGCAUUAAGCACUCCGCCUGGGGAGUACGACCGCAAGGUUGAAACUCAAAGGAAUUGACGGGGGCCCGCACAAGCGGUGGAGCAUGUGGUUUAAUUCGAAGCAACGCGAAGAACCUUACCAGGUCUUGACAUCCUUUGACCACUCUAGAGAUAGAGCUCCCUUCGGGGGCAAAGUGACAGGUGGUGCAUGGUUGUCGUCAGCUCGUGUCGUGAGAUGUUGGGUUAAGUCCCGCAACGAGCGCAACCCUUAUUGUUAGUUGCCAUCAUUCAGUUGGGCACUCUAGCAAAGACUGNCCGGUGACAAACCGGAGGAAGGUGGGGAUGACGUCAAAUCAUCAUGCCCCUUAUGACCUGGGCUACACACGUGCUACAAUGGGAAGUACAACGAGUCGCGAAGUCGCGAGGCUAAGCUAAUCUCUUAAAGCUUCUCUCAGUUCGGAUUGCAGGCUGCAACUCGCCUGCAUGAAGCCGGAAUCGCUAGUAAUCGCGGAUCASCACGCCGCGGUGAAUACGUUCCCGGGCCUUGUACACMCCGCCCGUCACACCACGARAGUUUGUAACACCAAGUCGGUGAGGUAACCUUUKGGAGCCAGCCGCCUAAGGUGGGAUAGAUGAUUGGGGUGAAGUCGUA
This 1409-nucleotide ribosomal RNA is filed under the name Enterococcus faecium. Its description in RNAcentral is "16S ribosomal RNA". It matches the Rfam family "Bacterial small subunit ribosomal RNA". Lineage: Bacteria; Bacillati; Bacillota; Bacilli; Lactobacillales; Enterococcaceae. The record is from RNAcentral.